AGAAGCUAACCACUCCGCUGGUCACACUUCAGAACCAACCCCUCAAGGAAAGCUGGCUGAUAAUCCCAAUCCAUCUAAAUCAAAAGUUUCAAAGAGAAAGGCAUAUACUCAACCAAUAAAGUCUAGUGUCAACAAGGUUAUCACUAGGAAAAUUGCUUCUUGUCAAGUAUUAUUCAUGAACCUUAGUACAUAAUACUUGAAACGUAUGUCCUGUUACUAACAUGCUUCCAUUUAACAAUCUGCUGGGGCUAGAGGACCUGUUAAGAAUUUUGCUGGCCGAAGAGUCAGACCUCCAAUAGUUUCUAACGUGCUACAUAAAAUAAGGGCCAAGAGAACAAGAACAAAUCCUUCCUAAACUGUGUGUAUGUGUAAUUCAUAGAUAGGUGACGUGAUGUAAACAAGCAUUUUUUGGUGACUGGGUUGGACUUAGAUGGCAUUUUGUAAACUGUUUUGUUUUUUGUACUAGUUUUUGGGUUUUGAGUUUGGUGUAAACAAACAAUGAUGUGUUCUACUUUUGUUUGGAUGAUCUGAAUGGCUAUUUUUGUAUGAAUGGAAAUAUGGAUAGCAUUUUGCAUCCAAUUUAUUAUCAUGCUAUUGAAUGGUUGAUGGAUAUCA
RNAcentral lists this long non-coding RNA (615 nucleotides) under Coffea arabica (coffee). RNAcentral describes it as "long non-coding RNA (CARA_LNC004756)". The record is from RNAcentral. Lineage: Eukaryota; Viridiplantae; Streptophyta; Magnoliopsida; Gentianales; Rubiaceae.